GUGAACGCUGGCGGUCGGCCUAACACAUGCAAGUCGAACGGCAGCACAGUAAGAGCUUGCUCUUACGGGUGCGAGUGGCGGACGGGUGAGGAAUACAUCGGAAUCUACUUUUUCGUGGGGGAUAACGUAGGGAAACUUACGCUAAUACCGCAUACGACCUACGGGUGAAAGCAGGGGAUCUUCGGACCUUGCGCGAUUGAAUGAGCCGAUGUCGGAUUAGCUAGUUGGCGGGGUAAAGGCCCACCAAGGCGACGAUCCGUAGCUGGUCUGAGAGGAUGAUCAGCCACACUGGAACUGAGACACGGUCCAGACUCCUACGGGAGGCAGCAGUGGGGAAUAUUGGACAAUGGGCGCAAGCCUGAUCCAGCCAUACCGCGUGGGUGAAGAAGGCCUUCGGGUUGUAAAGCCCUUUUGUUGGGAAAGAAAAGCAGCAGGUUAAUACCCCGCUGUUCUGACGGUACCCAAAGAAUAAGCACCGGCUAACUUCGUG
RNAcentral lists this ribosomal RNA (490 nucleotides) under uncultured bacterium. Its description in RNAcentral is "partial 16S ribosomal RNA". It matches the Rfam family "Bacterial small subunit ribosomal RNA", at positions 29 to 507 of the family's 1533-position model. The record is from RNAcentral.